GCCCUCGUAGCUCAGGGGAUAGAGCACCGGCCUCCGGAGCCGGGUGCGCAGGUUCGAAUCCUGCCGAGGGCG
This 72-nucleotide transfer RNA is filed under the name bacterium. RNAcentral's name for it is "tRNA-Arg". It matches the Rfam family "tRNA". From Rfam's summary of the family: Transfer RNA (tRNA) molecules are approximately 80 nucleotides in length. Their secondary structure includes four short double-helical elements and three loops (D, anti-codon, and T loops). The record is from RNAcentral. RNAcentral also lists the same sequence under 6 other names.